RNAcentral lists this unclassified non-coding RNA (406 nucleotides) under fungal sp. RNAcentral's name for it is "partial internal transcribed spacer region". The stretch from base 1 to 46 matches the Rfam family "Eukaryotic small subunit ribosomal RNA", at positions 1786 to 1831 of the family's 1831-position model. Lineage: Eukaryota; Fungi. The record is from RNAcentral.
AAGUCGUAACAAGGUAACCGUAGGUGAACCUGCGGAAGGAUCAUUAACACGUAUCCACGUUAUCAACCAACUGUGAACUUGUUUUCAACCUCCCUGUCUGAUACAUGAAUUUAAAAGGUUUGAGUUUGAUAUUGAAUGGUUUUAUCAAUUUAUUGAUGAACAUCUUACUCUUACUACUUGCUUUAAUGCGAGUGAUUGUAGUGUCAGUUCAGGUCAUACUUUUCUGCUAUCAACCUUACAUUCAUAAGGUAGAUAGUGGGAAAUACUAUUAACCUAUUUCACCCCCUUUUUGCUAGUUGACUUUUAUAUGUUGUCUUUGGCUACUAUUAAUUUAGUAUGUUAAGGUCACACGUUUAUUAAUUGAACGUUAAAUUUACAACUCUUAGCAAUGGAUAUCUUGGUUCUC